Molecule: ribosomal RNA, 406 nt
Filed under: uncultured bacterium
Lineage: Bacteria
Description: partial 16S ribosomal RNA
Rfam family: Bacterial small subunit ribosomal RNA
Source: RNAcentral
AUUGAACGCUGGCGGCAGGCCUAACACAUGCAAGUCGGGCGAGAGGCGGACGGGUGAGUAAUGUAUGGGGAUCUGCCUGAUGGAGGGGGAUAACUACUGGAAACGGUAGCUAAUACCGCAUACCAUCAGAUGAACCCCUAUGGGAUGAGCUUGUAGGUGAGGUAACGGCUCACCUAGGCGACGAUCCCUAGCUGGGCGUAGAGGAUGAUCAGCCACACUGUGACUGAGACACGGCCCAUACUCCUACGGGAGGCAGCAGUGGGGAAUAUUGCACAAUGGGCGCAAGCCUUAUGCAGCCAUGCCGCGUGUAUAAAGAAGGCCUUCGGGUUGUAAAUUACUUUCAGGCGGGAGGCGUUACCGACAGAAGAAGCACCGGCUAACUCCGUGCCAGCAGCCGCGGUAAUUC